CACCGCGGUUAUACGAGAGGCCCAAGUUGUUAAUCAUCGGCGUAAAGGGUGGUUAAAAUAAAAUUUUACUAAAGUCGAACGCCUACAGGACCGUUAUACGUAUUCCGAAGGUAUGAAGAUCAAUUACGAAAGUGGCUUUAUUACAUUUGACCCCACGAAAGCUAAGGUA
RNAcentral lists this ribosomal RNA (169 nucleotides) under Callanthias japonicus. RNAcentral's name for it is "partial 12S ribosomal RNA". The record is from RNAcentral. Lineage: Eukaryota; Metazoa; Chordata; Actinopteri; Callanthiidae.